This 277-nucleotide long non-coding RNA is filed under the name Elaeis guineensis (African oil palm). RNAcentral describes it as "long non-coding RNA (EGUI_LNC055704)". The record is from RNAcentral. Lineage: Eukaryota; Viridiplantae; Streptophyta; Magnoliopsida; Arecales; Arecaceae.
CUCCUUUCCUCCCUACAUCCUCCACGCCCCAUGAUUUGAUGAGAUCAGAUAUAAGAGAGACUAAAGAGAGGAAGAGAAGAAGAAAGGUUGUUCUUAUCUUCGUGGUGGUUCGGUUUAGAUCUCAUCCAAUCUAUGCAAAAAGGUUCACACAGCAUUCAUCUUCUUCGAGAUCUAGAAGAGAAGAUCCAGAUCCAAAGCUAAGGAGCAAGAUCUCCAAGGUGCUACCACAUCGGUGAUCUUGAUACUUCAAUUAGAUAUCUUUAUGUGGAUACCAACA